GUGUGUGUGUGUAUCCAUUUUAGACAGCUUUAGUGUCUCAGGAUGGCGUAUGCCUAAUCCAGUUGGAGUUGGGUCUAAUAGAAAGGUUCACAGAAGAUUAAGUUUAAUGCACUGUAAUAGGUAACUGAGCUUUUGCCAGUAUGAAUUUUAUAAAUGUGACUCUCAGUAAGGACCAGAAAAUUCGGUUUACAAGCAUCUUGAAGUGUUUCCUUAUGGACUUUUGCAUCUUUUCUUUUAUGCGGAAAUCUCCAAAGAGACCAUAUGAGUGUUGGAAAUACCAAGUGAAGAGUCAGAGAAGGCAGCGAGAGAAAGAGACUUUGAAGCCUGGUAUUUUGAAACUGUUGUUUCAAGAGGCCGAUGGUGAGAUUAAAUUGAAUUGAUUUAUACAAAAAUUGGAUAUGGAGCAUCAAGUAAAAUGUCAGAGGCAAAGGAAGAAUUACAAAAUCUGUAAGAGCAAUAAUUAUACAAAAGAAUAAUAAUGGUUUUCACAGCAAGGAGCUAAGUGUGUGUGACUUUAGCUUAUUUACCUCUGUGGCAGGGCAGAAAUUAAGGGCCAAUGAAGGAAGUGUACCACCCUAUGUUAUAUCUGAAAGCCUAAAAAACCUGGUGCUACCAGAACUUUGCUGAGCAAAGAAGCCAACAUAAAUAAUGAUAACGUAACCUGAAUGCAUUUAGUUUUACGCUUUUCAUAGCAUUUUCACUUUUACAUUUUGAAUUAAUAUUCUCUAUUAUUUUGAAACAUGGGUAAUGUAGGUCUCCCAUUUCUUUCUUCUGUUUUUUUUUUUUCUUUCUUUUUUUUCUUUUUUGAGACGACAUCUUGCUCUGUCUCCAGGCUGGAGUGCAAUGGUGCAAUCUCGGCUCACUGCAACCUCCGCCUUCCGGGUUCAAGCGUUUCUCCUGCCUCAGUCUCCCAAGUAGCUGGGGCUACAGGCAUGUGCCACCACGUCCAGCUAAUUUUUUGUAUUUUUAGCAGAGACGUGGUUUCCCUACGUUAGCUAGGAUGGUCUCGACCUCCUGACCUCGUGAUCUGCCCGCCUCGGCCUCCCAAAGUGCUGGGAUUACAGGCGUGAGUUACUGUGCCCAGCCAGGUCUUCCAUUUCCACAGAUGAAAAUAUUAACGUAGAGAAGAGUCACAGAAAUAAGUGUAAUUUUUUUCCCCCUUGACUAAUGCAAAUGCGUAACUGUGUAACUCAGUCUGCAUUCACUUUCUGUUCAGGAAUUUGAACUUUAUACCUCAGGCAAUGGGGAAACACAGAAGAUGUCUGAACAGAGACAUAUCAGGAUCAGAACUGUGUUAUGCAGGGGAUACCCAGAAUGGUUUGAAGGAGUUGGGCAUGAUCCCUGGGAGGAAGAAGAGACUGCACUAGAAAGGGGUACUGGUUGAAAAAUAAAGGGUGAGGCCAGGCACUGUGGCUCAAGCCUGUAGUACCAGAGCUUUGGGAGGCUGAGGCAGGAGGAUGCCUGGAGGCCAGGAGUUCAAGACCACCCUGGGCAACAUAGCAAGACCCCAUAUCUACAAAGAAAUUAAAAAAUUAGCUUGGUGUGGUUGUAUGUACUUGUAGUCCUAGAUACUCAGGAUGUUUGGUUGAGCUCAGGAGUUUGAGACCACAGUGAGUUAUGAUCGCACCACUGCACUCCAGCCUGGGCCACAGGCUGUGACUUUAUCUCAAAAAAACAAAACAAAACAAAAACAGAUGCUUUUGAAAAGACACUGAAUGAGAACUCUCCAAUGUGCUAGAGAUGAGAAGAUAGGAAAAACACUUGGGAGAAGGAGGGACAUAGAUUGGAAAUGUGGGCAGAGCUCAUUCUGGGUUGCCGAAAAAACCAUAGGCAUUGUGUUGUUGUUUGUUGUUUGAGAGAGUCUUACUCUGUCGCCCAGGCUGGAGUGCAGUGGCUCAAUCUCAGCUAACUGCAACCACCACCUACAAGGUUCAGGCGAUUCUCCUGCCUCAGACUCCUGAGUAGCUGCGAUUACCAGCAUCCGCCACUGCACCUGGCUAAUUUUUGUAUUUUUUUUUCAGUAGAGAUGAGGUUUCACUAUGUUGGUUGGGCUGGUCUCAAACUCCUGACUUCAAAUGAUCCACCUGCCUUGGCCUCCCAAAAUGCUGGGUUUACAGGCGUGAGCCACCAUGCCCAGCCACCACUGGCAUUGUGAGUACCCACAUUUUCAAACUCAGAAGUUAACUCUUAUAUUCAUUAUGUCCUUGAUGGAAUUUGAACUCUAAUCCUCCAGAAACAAAUCUCUGAGAUGGAAUAAAUAAUAAAUGCUAGUUUCACUAAUUUGAAAGCUGUGAUCACUUGAAUAGAAUCUAUUAGUUAGAAAUUCGAAACCAUCUGUAGAAAAUAAUUAUUCCUUGGGCAGACCAGACAUUGUCCUGAAAAUCGCAAGGAAAUUAAUUGUUUUCAUGUAUUCUGAAACUACUUGAACAACAGGCGCUAGCAUAUGAUUAAUGUUAAAAAUAUAAAGGUCUCAUUAAUAUUACAAAUAGAGCAUUUCACAGCCUUCUGUUGAAAAACAGUUUAAUUAUAUAACACAUUAUAUAUGUGCUCAAAAUAAUGUUAACAUUUCUAUAUUCUGGAUAUUUUACUUUUGCUUAAUUAUUCUAAAUUAAUGUGAGAUUACUGACCAGGCAAAUCUGUAUAUCAAAUCCAUAUUUUUAUUUUUCCUAACUCAGGAUUCAUGUGUUUAAACAAUAGUAAACAAAUGGAAAGAACUUCAGACUAGCUCCAGAAAGUUUUGAAAUACUACAAAUUUUAUAGACAUUUUAGUUUUAGAAUUUGAUCAUUUUUAAUUUUAAAAAUUUUAAUUGACACAUAAUUAUAUAUGUUUAUGUAGUACAGUGUGAUAUUUCCACACAUGUAUACAAUGUGCAAUGAUCAAAUCAGGGUAAUUAGCAUAGCCAUCACCUCAAACAUUAAUCAUUUCUUUGUGUUGGGAACAUUCAACUCCACUCCACCAGUUAUUUGGAAAUAUGCAAUAAAUUAUUGUUAAUUGUAAUCACCUUACAGAGCUACAGAACAAUAGAACUUAUUUCUCCUAUCUAGCCAUAAUUUUGUAUUCAUUAACCAAGCUCUGGUUCUCUCCCUCCUUCCCAGCCCUUAGUAUACACUAUUCUGCUCUCUGGUUCUGUGAGAUCAACUUUUUUAGUUCCCCAUACGAGUGAGAACAUGCACUACUUGUCUUUCUUUGUCUGGCUUAUUUCACUUAACAUAAUGUCCUCCAAGCUCAUCCGUGUCACCACAAAUGACAGGAUUUCAUUCAUUUUAAUUGCUGAAUAAUAUUCUAUUGUUAAUAUAUACCACAUUUUCUUUAUCCAUUCAUCUGUUGAUAGGCAUUUAGGUUGAAUCUGUAUCUUGGCUAUUAUGAACGGUGCUGCAAUAAGCAUGGGAACACAGAUAUAUCCUUGGCUUACUGAUUCUCUUUCCUUCGGGUAAAUAUCCAGCAAUAGGAUUGCUGGGUCAUAUGGUAGCUCUCUUUUUAGGUUUUUUUUUUUUUUUUUUCGGAACUUCCAUAUUAUUUUCCCUAUUGGCUGUACUAAUUUAUAUUCCUACCACGAGUAUGCGAGAGUUCCCUUUUAUCCUCAUCCUUGUCAGCAUUUAUUUUUUUUUUUUUGUCAUUUUGAUAACAGCCAUUCUAACUGGAAUAAGAUGAUAUCUCAUUGGGGUUUUGAUUUGCAUUUCCCUGAUGGUUGGUGAUGUUGAGAAUUUUUUCAUAUACCUUUUGGCCAUUUGUAUUUUUUUCUUUUUGAGCAAUAGAUAUUCAACUCAUUUGCCCAUUUAUUUUGUUUGUUUGUUUUAGAUGGAGUCUUGCUCUGUUGCCCAGGCUGGAGUGCAGUGGUGGGAUCUCAGCUCACUGCAAGCUCCACCUCCCGGGUUCACGCCAUUCUCCUACCUCAGCCUCCUGAGUAGCUGGGACUACAGGCGCCCACUACCACACCUGGCUAAUUUUGUUUUUGUAUUUUUAGUAGAGUCAUGGUUUCACCAUGUUAGCCAGGAUGGUCUCAAUCACCUGAGCUCGUGAUCCACCCGCUUCGGCCUCCCAAAGUGCUGGGAUUACAGGCAUGAGCCACCACACCUGGCCGCCCAUGUUUUUAAUUGGAUGAUGAUGAUGAUGAUGAUGAUGAUGAUGAUUUUGCUGUUUAGUUAUUUGAAUUCCUUGCAUAUUCUGGAUACUAAUCUCCUGUUGGAUACAUCGUUUGCAAAUAUUUUCUCCUAUUAUGCCAGUUGUCUCUUCACUGUGUUGAUUCCUUUUGGUGUGCAGAAGCUUUUUGGUUUGAUUUAAUCCCAUUUGUCUAUUUUUGCUUCUGUUACCUGUGCUUUUGAUGUCUUUUUCAUAAUAUCUUUUCCCAGACCAAUGUCCUAAAGUGUUUUUACUAUAUUUUCCUCUACUAGUGUCAUAGUUUCAGGUCUUAUAUUUAAGACUUUAAUUCAUUUUGAAUUGAUUUUUGUGUAUGGUGAGAGGCAGUGGUCUAGUUUCAUUCUUCUGCCUAUGGAUAUCCAGUUUUUCCAGCACCAUUUAUUGAAGAGACUGAGACAUGUUUUCUAUUACAGGAGGAUAUGGAAAGAAAGUAAACCAAGCUGUUGAUCUUUAGGGUUGUUUAAUUCAUUUCACCAUGCCUAUUUCUACUCUCCAAAUACACUGUAGUUCCCAUAGAACACUAAGGCCUUGUCAAUUUGACUUACCAUGGUGGGGCCUGAGCAGGUGUGUGCUGUUUAAUGUCAGCAGAAAAUCAGACUGAGCCCACUCCAUUUAUGAAUGGCUUCCUCCUGGUUCCCAUUUGCAUGCAUGUGAAAUUAUGUUAAAAUGAACAUCAAAAGCUGUCAGACUGAGGUUAUAUGGAAAAAGAAGCCCACCUUUAUGCUUGGCAAUAUUGCCAAGGUAUAAGGGCCAAUUUUAUACAUAUGUUGUAGAAAAGAGUUUGAAAGGCAGCUCUUUCUUCCUGUUGAUCCCCAAGACAGUGGCCCUAAUUCACUGUGCCCAUCAUGUGAAUAUUCUUAAUGUAACCAUCUAUAUUUCUGCUAGAGUUGUGUUAAAUAACAUGACACAGUAAGUUUCUGUUAUGUCAAUUUGGUUGCAGGAGCGGGUAAGUAAUACUAUCUCAAAAAAAAAAAAAUGUUGACCUGAUUCUUAAUGUGUAUAGCCAGCUUUUUGACUGUUAUUCUUACAAUGUAGAAACACACAAACAUCUGCUUGCUAAGACAUUGGAGAAUGGUUUUAUUUUCUUAUACGUAUAUUUAUCUCAGGCUUUAUUCUUGGCUGCCUCUUUUGGGCUUACCCUGAAAAGAUGUUGCAUAUAUAAUCAACUGGGUGUUCACAUCAAUGUCUGUCAUUGCUUGGAGAGUUUAAAAUGGAAAAAUCUAUUUCCUCUGGCAGAGCUUUUUGUCUUAUUUUAAUUAUUCUUCGGAAUUUUUAUGAAACCAUGUUGUGUUGUCAGAAAUGGCCUCCAUGUUGAACUUUGCCUUGUCAAAAUAAUUUUAUCAUUCAUAAAUAUUUCAGUGAAAACCAAAGACUGCUUAUAAAUGAUUGAUUCUGUAGAGUUCACUGACAUUUCCUGUGAAGUCUUUUAUUAAAAUUAGAGUAUCCCAUCCUAAAUCUGACCAUUAAUUGUUAAUAAUGUGCAGAUUGAAACCUAGGUGUCUCUAAAACAUGAAAAAUUAAAUUAGUAGUUAUAAUGAUACAUUGAAAUUAAGAAGGUUCAUCACAGUUCAAAGAAGCUCAUUCUCAAGCUUAGCACUACACUAAAGUGUAUUUUGGUUUCUAAAUUAAAUAAGGCAAGCUUUGUACCUAGAAGUAUUCUAUAUGAUAUAGAGAGGACCAGAAGCAAUGAGUAAAGAAAGUUGAACGGCGGAAAUUAACAUGGAUGGGUUAUUUAUGUCAUUUAUUUAAUCUUACCAUUUCUUUUCCAUGAUGAAAUAUGGCCUAUUAUUUUAGGUGGGCAGACAAAAAUAAUGCUCACUUAAGUAACCAAUUUCUAAGUCAUUUGAAUGUUGAAGCUUAUGAUAUUGGAUAGAUCUAGUGCUGAAUAUGGGACUAAAUUUGAUUUUAAGAAGUAGCCAGUUUCUUUGCUUUUUUCAUUGUUAGACAAGCAGUUUUUUAUUACUCUUUCUAUACUUUCCAAAUUCUCCACAAGAGCACAUAUUGCUUUUCUGAAAAAAAGUUAAAAAUAAAAGAAAGCAAAAGAAAAGACAGAAAACAAUUCCACUAGCCAUAGAUACCAUUUUCAAACUUAUUUUCUUUUUAGUAUUUUCUAUACUUACUUUUUACAGUUUAUUCAAGGCAACAAGUAUUUGUAGAACAUUCCUGUGUUCUAGGCACUGAGAAUGGCAUCGAAUAGUAAAACAGAGGCUCUUUUCUGCAGAAACUUACAAUAUAGUUAGGAAGACAAGUCAUCCAUUUUCUUGUAGAACAAAAAAAGAAUGCAGUAAGUUCUGAAUGGGUGAUAGAGACAGAACCUUCAUAAAAACAGUCUGAAGAAAAUGAAGAAGCUUGGCUGUGGUGAUUAGGAGGUUCUUGAUGGUGGCAAUAAGCUUGAGUUGGUUUUGAAGUGUUCACGUUUGGGUUUUUUCCCCCAGUGGCAUCCGUAGGUGGAACAAUCUACAAUAAUCUACAGACUGUACUUGAUACGUCACAGAGUUCUCAAAUCUUCUGCGUAUAUCAUUGGGGCUUAACAAAUUGACCUCCUUUAGAGCAGAUGUUCUCAGUGCCCCAUUUAUACCUUUGUCAUCACAAUUUCCAUGCAAGCUGGCUGACUUUGAACACCAAGCACCACAGCUCUUUGCCUGAGGGUAUUUUCUGGCCACCCAAGUCUGUUCUGCCUACCUUGGCAUCAGCCACAAAUGCUGGGGAGCUGAUGCUCUACUUGGAAGAGUCUUCAAGACAUAACUGAUGGGAGUUAGUGGAUAAACACCUCAAUUCCGUCUAUUCAGUAUAUUCCAGGGGUAUAACCUACACUGUCUUUCAGAAUUCCUGAUGGGAUGGAGGGCUAGUUACAACUGUGAUCACAGACUUCUAAAGCUUAUUGCCAAAAAUUCUAAAGAUGUAGUACUAUGGCAUUCAACCUCAUCCCUCUCUGUUAAAUAAGCUUUCAGGGAUUGGAGGCAUGUUAGAAGUCAUCUAAUCCAAUCACCUUCUAGUAGAUUCUGUCUGACUUUGCCUACAUCCUGGUGACCCGCCCUGGAGACAGUUCCAUGCUUGGAAGGUUUCCUGCAGCUCUCUGCCUGUGGGUCUCCUCUGGCUGCGGAAGCUGCCUGGUCCACAUGGUACAGGCCUAAGUGCCCAAGAAACAAAUGGCAAGGAAUAAGGAAUGAGUGCUAAUGAACAAAUACUACAGCAGGAAAUUCUGAGGAGUGAUCAUCUCAGAGGAGCUCCUGCAGGGUUUGUCUUUAGUGUUUCAGAAUUAACGCAUUGAGCAGCACCCUUUUUUCUUUUCUCGAUUUCACUUCCCCACCCACUCUUCACCCGGCUUCCUGAAGCCAUUGCCCUGAUAAACAACCUGCACUCAAACACUUGAUCAGGGUGGGUAUACUCUGGGGGAACUGAAACUGGGACACUUCUCAUUACAGAGGAGAAGAAACUGAGACUGGAAGAGUGGAAGUCAUUUGCUGGUAGUUCUGUGCAAUUCUGUUAUGUGGUAGAGAUUAUAGUACACAUGCAGUUUGUAUCAUGCUUUUGCCAUUUCAAUACUUUUCAAAAUACUUGAAUUUAAAUAAAUAUUUUAAAAUAAUAAUCCAUCAUGUAAAAGAACCAUGAUUUGCUUAACCAGUACCUAAUGGUGGACAUUUAGGUUGAUUCAUUUACUGAAAGAAUCAUAGAAACCCAUUGAGGGUGUUUUGUCAGAGAAGCUCCUGAUUCUACCUGAACUGAAGAUAUUCUUCAGUUGCAUUUAUAUCUGUCAAAGUCCACACUCCCCUGCAUCUAUUUAUGAAUACCAGAUGGGCUAUUUUUGAAUGCUAGCACAGUAAAAUAAUGGCAACCUAUUAAGGUCAUUAAAGGAAGACUGCAUGGAAUUUAUGAUCAGUGGGCUGCCAUUUAUGCAACCAAGGAGGAUCCAUAAAAUACAAGAUAAUCUGACAUUGAUUUGAUUUCUGAUCUGAGUGAAUGCCAAGGAACCCCUACAUCUGUGGACAUACGAUGUUUUCCAAGCUCUUUUCCAAUACUGUCCAUUUUUGUCCCAUCGAUUAUCAUUUCCACUGCAUCAUUCAGGGAUAAAAUUAAUUGCUAACUGCAAGGUUUCCUGAGUGCAGUCAGUUAAUGCAUAAGCCUGUUUACUGCAUGCCAGAUGGUUCCACAGUUACUUAAGAAGGGACAAAUAUUGAUAAAACAGUGUACAAAACUGUGCCACCAAACAAUUCUAUAUAAUAGAUGUCUGAAGUGAGGGGACUUAGAGAAAAAAAAUCUUGCAAGUAGUUACAGAUUAUUUCUUUGAAAAGCAAUUAGGACUGCAAAUGCCUUAUUCUUUAACUUUAAGCUCUGCAUGACAAGAGGAUAAUUUUCUUAGAUCCCUUUAAAAUGAGUCUUACUUUCACAUUGCCAUUUAACAGGAUAGACAAGGAGGAGUAAAAUGGAGGAUGCCCAAAAGUUUGCAAAGUGGGGGUGGCAAAUGGACCCCUGGAGGUAUUUCUAUCCCCAGCCCUAGCAAUGUUCGGUUUAGGGCACUGGAAGGGUACACCCUCUUCUGAGAACUCCUCUCCUGGAAUCAAUAACUACUGAAGGUGUUCUUCCAUGUUUGGAGUGGCUGUCCGCACCUUUCAUCCUAUGUAGUGACAGAGGGACACUUGCUUGGCAGUGCUGUCAGAGUGACAAAUACAUCUAUACAUGUGCUACCAGGGGCUGGCGUGUUUUUCCAAAGGCUGUCACCCAAACAGUGUGCUUCUGCUAUUCAGGGUGGACUCACCAUUGCAGAAUCAUUUUGAGAAACUGGUUAUUGAUUUUUCAUCUUUCGGGCAAAAGGAGGUGGAGUGAAGUUGCUCUUCCUGCCAGUGGCUGCAUAUGAUACUGUCUGUGAAUUAGCCCCGAGCUCUAUUAAAAUCAGCAAAUACCAUCUUGAAAUUGUGAGGUUGCUCCUUUAGGUGAAAGCCCUGGAAACUCAAACAAAAAUGCAAGUAUGUAAGUAUGUUGCCCGGGAGGGAGAACACAAGCAACUCUUAUAAACCAUUAACGUGUGCAUGCAAAUUAGAUUAUUACAAUCACUUUAGCAUUGUAGCAAGAUGUUUUGGGAAUAGAGAGGAAGGGAAGCAGAACAUCAAGAGUUAUUGAGGGCUCUGGGUAACAGUGGACAGGAGGAAGGCACUGUUCAUCUCGGGGAAGAGACACUGAUCAGAGAUGGGAUGGAGCAGGAACAGAGGGUCCCUAAGGGCACAUUUCCUUCAUAAUACUGCCCUUACGAGAACUAGUUUUGGUGUUUUUCUCUGUAUCACCAACAGGGCUCUGUUCAUGUUUUGAAAAUUAUAAAUGUGUCUAUGAAUAUUGAUGAAAGGUGAUGAAACAGGUAUAAAAUGUUACAGGGUCCCUGGAGAGAUUUAGAGAGCCAUUCCUUGAUCAUAUUAGGAAAUAGAAUGCUCAUUAACAUUACCACUUUGGAAUUACCUUGUAGACAAAACAUUAGCAUUUAGUUAAAAUCUAAGUUAUAUUUCUGCAUUUAUAAUUUGAGUAAUUCUUUCAACUUGGGUAAUAAAAGAAAAAUUGUCAUAUUUCAGUCACUAAAGAAAUGCUCAUAGGUGUGGCUUCUAACACCUUCAUGUUCUUAAUAAUUCUGGUGAACUUGGCACUAGAGAUUCAUGUAUUUCUAGGAUGGAUUAUAGAACAUUUGUCUCAUCAGUGUAAGUCUAACUUUUUUUUUUUUUUUUUCAGAUGGAGUCUCACUCUGUCACCCGGGCUGGAGUGCAGGGGCAGGAUCUCAGCUCACUGCAACCUCCACCUCCCGGGUCCAAACAGUUCUCCUGCCUCAGCCUUCUGAGUAGCUGGGACUACAGGCAUCUGGUAUCAUUGAGCUUGGAAUGGCCUCUUCAAAAACUAACUCAAGAGGAUUUCUGACUCUCUCUAACCUGCUCCAUACCCUAGUAAGUCAGUUUGGUCAUUGAAUGCAGCUCUACCCAGAGAGGAAUCAUCUUCUCUCACCUGCUUCCUGGGUAGUGAUCAGGAUGAAAGGAGUAGGGUUUUAUAAAAAUCUAUUUUGAAACCUUGGGAUUCCUCCCCCACCAUUCUUGGAUAUGAUGUUUUUUUCCUUUUCCCUGAAGACAACCCCACACCAACGCAGCUGACAUGCCCUGUGAAUGAUACUUCUGCCAAAAGGGGACAUAGGAGAGUCAAACUUAGUUCUAGUUCAGGCCCUUGAGUUCUGUUGUUUGAUCGACAGAGUCCAAGAUCAUAAAAAUAAUGUCUUGGUUGGAUAUACUGCUUGCAGUCCUCCUUGGAGGCCCAUGUGGUACAAAGUUGGAAGCCACAAUGGAUCUCUGAAUGGUUUAUACAAAUUCUUUUUUCCCUCUUGCACUGGGCUCUCCUAGAUAAAAAUUCUGAGGGUGUUUAAGAGACAGGCCACAUUUUGUGCAAUGGGAUAAAAACAACCAUCUCAGCAGCCGGGGAGGCAAUACUUUAGGACCUGGGAGCUGUGGCAAGGGGAUGGUGGUUUUUCCAAAAGUAGGGUGACUUGUAUCUUGAAGGUAAUUGUAAGAGACCUUCAAGUGCUUAAAGAAAAGGCAAUAGUAUAUCAUGUAGCCCUCAGAUGGCUGCAAGAUCAUUCCAAAUAAGGCCAUCCUUGGAUAUUUGUAGGAACUUCCUGGAGAGAUAACUGACUCAUUAUUUACGCUCACCCCAUAGACAGUUACACAUAUGAUGGACAGGUGUCCACACAGUGUCAUUUAAUAUAAAAGUUGGUAAAAAUUUUGACCCUGACAUUGAUACCAACUUUGCCCUCGAAGGCAAUCUGUUUAACCCCAGGUCACUGGAAAAGGUUGUUGUGGCUGAAAAUAUUGCCCUAGAUAUCCUCCUUACUGGAAAAGGCACAGAGUCUGUGUAAAUGCUAAUAUAUCCUGUUGUACCUGGAUUAAUGUCUCAGGUGAAGUGGGAAAGUCAACACAGAAAUUUAGAGAAAGACACUUGACUUUCUGAAGUAGAUCCUGAUGGCAUAUGCGGUUUGUUCAGCUGCAUCAGGGAACCAGGAAUGGAUGGUCAGGUUACUACUGCAGGUUGGCUGCCUCCUGGGGCUUGGAGUCCUAUUGGCGGUAGCCUUUAUUAAAUGCUGCAUGAGACUAAUUGAAUGGAUUUGGUCCUAGCCUCUGCUGGUCAGAUUAAUCAGAGUAAGCAUUGGAUUGGCA
Molecule: long non-coding RNA, 11313 nt
Filed under: Homo sapiens (human)
Lineage: Eukaryota; Metazoa; Chordata; Mammalia; Primates; Hominidae
Description: HSALNT0135311
Source: RNAcentral